AUUGAACGCUGGCGGCAGGCUUAACACAUGCAAGUCGAGCGGAGAUGAGGUGCUUGCACCUUAUCUUAGCGGCGGACGGGUGAGUAAUGCUUAGGAAUCUGCCAUUUAGUGGGGGACAACAUUCCGAAAGGAAUGCUAAUACCGCAUACGUCCUACGGGAGAAAGCAGGGGAUCUUCGGACCUUGCGCUAAAUGAUGAGCCUAAGUCGGAUUAGCUAGUUGGUGGGGUAAAGGCCUACCAAGGCGACGAUCUGUAGCGGGUCUGAGAGGAUGAUCCGCCACACUGGGACUGAGACACGGCCCAGACUCCUACGGGAGGCAGCAGUGGGGAAGAUUGGACAAUCGGGGGAACCCUGAUCCAGCCAUGCCGCGUGUGGGAAGAAGGCCUUAUGGUUGUAAAGCACGUUAAGCGAGGAGGAGGCUACUGAGACUAAUACUCUUGGAUAGUGGACGUUACUCGCAGAAUAAGCACCGGCUAACUCUGUG
This 485-nucleotide ribosomal RNA is filed under the name uncultured bacterium. Its description in RNAcentral is "partial 16S ribosomal RNA". It matches the Rfam family "Bacterial small subunit ribosomal RNA", at positions 30 to 507 of the family's 1533-position model. The record is from RNAcentral.